RNAcentral lists this ribosomal RNA (437 nucleotides) under uncultured bacterium. RNAcentral describes it as "partial 16S ribosomal RNA". It matches the Rfam family "Bacterial small subunit ribosomal RNA", at positions 29 to 507 of the family's 1533-position model. The record is from RNAcentral.
AGCGAACGCUGGCGGCAGGCUUAACACAUGCAAGUCGAGCGGGCAUCCUUGUGGUGUCAGCGGCAGACGGGUGAGUAACGCGUGGGAACGUGCCCUUCGGUUCGGAAUAACUCAGGGAAACUUGAGCUAAUACCGGAUACGUGCGAGAGCAGAAAGGUUUAUCUGCCGAAGGAUCGGCCCGCGUCUGAUUAGCUAGUUGGUGAGGUCACGGCUCACCAAGGCGACGAUCAGUAGCUGGUCUGAGAGGAUGAUCAGCCACACUGGGACUGAGACACGGCCCAGACUCCUACGGGAGGCAGCAGUGGGGAAUAUUGGACAAUGGGGGCAACCCUGAUCCAGCCAUGCCGCGUGAGUGAUGACGGCCUUAGGGUUGUAAAGCUCUUUUCUCCGGGACGAUAAUGACGGUACCGGAGGAAUAAGCCCCGGCUAACUUCGUG